ACUCCUACGGGAGGCAGCAGUAGGGAAUCUUCGGCAAUGGACGAAAGUCUGACCGAGCAACGCCGCGUGAGUGAAGAAGGUUUUCGGAUCGUAAAACUCUGUUGUUAGAGAAGAACAAGGAUGAGAGUAGAACGUUCAUCCCUUGACGGUAUUUAACCAGAAAGCCACGGCUAACUACGUGCCAGCAGCCGCGGUAAU
RNAcentral lists this ribosomal RNA (198 nucleotides) under uncultured bacterium. RNAcentral describes it as "partial 16S ribosomal RNA". It matches the Rfam family "Bacterial small subunit ribosomal RNA", at positions 335 to 524 of the family's 1533-position model. The record is from RNAcentral.